Molecule: long non-coding RNA, 392 nt
Filed under: Elaeis guineensis (African oil palm)
Lineage: Eukaryota; Viridiplantae; Streptophyta; Magnoliopsida; Arecales; Arecaceae
Description: long non-coding RNA (EGUI_LNC063130)
Source: RNAcentral
GUGUGGCUUCAUUCCGAACUCCCCUGACCGUCCGAGCUUCCAUAAUACCAUCCGGAUUUCUCCAAUAAUGGGCUCCUCCAAUCAUCUACCAGACUGCUCCAAAUGCUCUCUGAGCUUCACUAUCAGCCGAUUUUCUACAGUGAUCGACUAUUCUCCGAAUCUCAGCCUAGAUUUCUUCCGACCACGAACAACUUUACUCCGAACUUCUUUCGGACUUUGUCAAUAUCCGAGCUUCUCUAAUAGCAGGACUUCUACAGUAAUCAGAUUCCAUCAAAGUUUUUAUGACGAUCGACCACCUCCCGAAUUUCAUCCGAGCUCCAACGAGAGCUAGAUCCCAGCCGAACUUUUACAGCGGAUGGAUUCCAGACAAACUCCUACAACGGACAGACUCC